UAACGCGUGAGGAACCUGCCUCAAAGAGGGGGACAACAGUUGGAAACGACUGCUAAUACCGCAUAAGCCCACAGCUCGGCAUCGAGCAGAGGGAAAAGGAGUGAUCCGCUUUGAGAUGGCCUCGCGUCCGAUUAGCUAGUUGGUGAGGUAGUGGCCCACCAAGGCGACGAUCGGUAGCCGGACUGAGAGGUUGAACGGCCACAUUGGGACUGAGACACGGCCCAG
RNAcentral lists this ribosomal RNA (225 nucleotides) under uncultured bacterium. Its description in RNAcentral is "partial 16S ribosomal RNA". It matches the Rfam family "Bacterial small subunit ribosomal RNA", at positions 111 to 334 of the family's 1533-position model. The record is from RNAcentral.